Molecule: non-coding RNA, 301 nt
Organism: Zonotrichia albicollis (white-throated sparrow)
Lineage: Eukaryota; Metazoa; Chordata; Aves; Passeriformes; Passerellidae
Source: RefSeq, a predicted model, not a curated record
UAUCACCAUUAAGCGUGUCAGAAAGAAGUGGGAAAUGGGAAAACACCCAAAUCCAUUACUAGCAAAAAAUGUGUAGGGAACAAGAGACCUAAAAGGAGGCAACAGAUUCUUUUUGCAUGGAUGAAAUCAUGAGCUUCUCCCUAUCACCUCCUGCAACUCUUUUGAUCAAACCUCCAAGAUUUUUCCCAAGAAAUGACACAUCUGAUCUGAUUGGAGUUUGUACAGGUCUAUUUAUUUGCUCUCCCGGAAAAGAGAAUGUAUUUUGAGACGUCAAAAUAUUUUGUUUGCCUUCAUUUGAUUG